RNAcentral lists this non-coding RNA (30 nucleotides) under Cricetulus griseus (Chinese hamster). Lineage: Eukaryota; Metazoa; Chordata; Mammalia; Rodentia; Cricetidae. The record is from RNAcentral.
CGGCGCGGACGGAAGCCUCAGGUGUGAGGU